GCAAUUCCUGCGUGAGGGGGAAUGAGGCCGGGUCCUCUCCCGGCACCCCCAGCUCAGAUUGGCUUCCCACUGGCAUGUGUGGCCUUUGCUCCUAGAUCCUGGGAUUCACCCCAAGCGUGGAGAACUAAGAUGAUGGAGAAACGGGUAUCUCACCUCCUGUCCGGUCGUGCAGUCCUGUCUCCUUCAUUCCCACUCUGUUCCUCAGUCUCUUCAAGACCUUCUGUCCACUCAGUCUUCUGCUCUCUGCUACUUCAUCGUCACCUUCUUGGCUUUGCUUUGCUGUGUAGUCCAUCUGGAUCCCAUUGUCACCACUUCACUUAAUCACCAGGACCGUCUACUCUCCUGCCCUGUUGCCCUCCGGCCACACUGCACUACACAGCCUGGGCCUGGCACGUUCCAUCUGUCCCCUCCCGCGCCCACUAGCAGGUGCCACUGGAGGGAGUUCACACGCCAAGCGUUGGGUGUCACCUGGGCCCCAAGUGAUGCCUGGAGGGCGUUCUCCACCUCCUCUCCUCUCAGGGCUGUUCUCACCUGUGACUCUGCUCCAGCCCGACCCUGCCCUCCUUUCCUGUCUCACCUGGAGGAUGGCCUCACCUGUCUUUUCUCACACCGGGUUGAGUAUGGAGGCAAAGCUUCAGGUCUGUUUCCCACACUCACCACCUGUUCUUACCUUACUUGGAGGAGAAGGGGUUGCUCCUCCUGUCAUGGGCUAGAUCUUCCGCUGACCGACCUUGCUUACCCAAUAUUGUCCUCAUGACACGUCUUCUAAUGUGCCAUGUUAAUUUGCUUUCAUUUCCCCCCCCCCUUCUACUCCCAGGAGAAUAUAUAUCUUCUAAGGGCAGGGAUUUCACAUCCAUGUGGUUGACCAUGAGAUGAGAAAGUCAUCAUGGUUGAUUCCGAGGGUUUUGGCCUGAGCCCUGGAAGAUUGGAGUUGCCUCUAACUCAGCUGAGGAAGGUCAUUAAUGGAGCAGGUUUGGAGGGAACGUCAGAGAUUCAGUCUGGAUGUGUUAGCACAUUAGACAUCCAUGUGGAGCUGUUGAGUGGGCUGGAGGAUUGUACCAGUUUUAGAGCUGAGGUCAGGGUACAGGGAGAAACACAGGUGUCCUCAGCAUAAGACACUUAGAACCAUGGACAAGAUGAGAGCUACAGGAAGUGACUGUGGAUGGUAAAGAGGAGGCCUUGAACUGAGCUCUGGGGCACUCUGGCGCCCAGACCUCGGGCAGAUGAAGAAAACCCUCAAGGAGAUUGGCAGGAGGAGCCCUGACUGUGAUAAGGAGGAAAACCUGGAGGACACGCUGUCCUGGAUUCCAGUGGCAAGAGUGUUUCCAUGGAGGACGCGACAGGGACCAGCUGUGCCCAUUGCUACUGAACCAGGGACCACAGGGGACAGAGACUAAGGACAACGACCUCCAGAGCCCAGAUGCCCUCGGUGUUUCUUCCACGUGGCACUGUUCUGUGGGAACAGUACCCAGCCUAGCACAUACUGCACACAGGGUUUACCCCUAAAGCGAUCUGUGAAUAUUAAUCCCUUCCGCAAGCUGAUAUCACCAACCCAGCCGUGCACAGAGCCAGGGAACCCCGGCCCUGAACCGUCCAGCCUGGCCCCAGCCUGCUGUGAGCCCCCAGAGGAAUCCCACAGUGCUCUUCAAGCUGCAGCAGGGGGAGCACCGUGGGUAUUUACUGAUAUUUCAUUUUAACCAAUGACCAUCGGGACACAUCAAGGCAGCUGAUGUCGUAGGCAUAUGGGCCCCUGGGAGCUGAUACAUUUUUUCAACCCUGCUCUGCCUGCCAGCUAGUAGACAUGAACAAGUGGAUGAAGGCAUUCUGGAUUUCGUGAAGGUUUCUCAUCUGGCUUUUAAAAAACCCAUCAACGCUGGAAAACCCAAGGCCUCUGUGAGCAUACCAUGGCCUUUAAAGAGAGUCCUGUGCCUGGAACCCCUGAAAUAUAUACUGGGGUUAAUACACUUAAAGGUGGCUUCAGAAGCAAAGUAACAUCGAGGCCCUAAUUCCGGAACUGGCCCUGCCCGUCUGUCACUGUCUUCCGGUGGGGUGGCAGCCAUGGGAUCCGAAGGCGACUUCUGAUUUCAGGCUCCCUCCUUGUGGUUGGUCUGUCCGACUUGAUUCAGGACUUGGGCAAGGACACAUUGUCCUUCUGGGACAGCUGUUGCCUUCUUGUUUGUCUCAUUUUGUGUCCUGAGAACUUGGCUCGGCGACCGUCAGGUUGGGCAGGUAUAACAGAAAUGUUAAAAAGCGUAUUACAGCCUGACACUGACACCCCUCAUGACCUACUUCCUGGAGAAUACAGCCACUGGAAAAGACCCCAACUAAAGGACUCCUGCUUCCCUCCUUGGAAAGGAUCUUUUCUGGUACUGCUCGCCAGUUCCUGCACAGCUGAAUUUGAAGGCAUCCGGCCCACCUGAAAGGAGUAACAGGACCAGAAUGAACCAGCAAAGCCACAGGUGAUCUCACACUUAAGAUCUCCCGGCACCAGAAGCAGACAACCUCGGACAUAGAUAGACAGCUAUCCCAAGACAACGGGCCAGGCCUGUGUAACUUAACUUGAUUUCCGCCACUGUUCUCUUUACUGUGGAAAUCAUGAUAGGGGAAGUUAACCAGACUCCUCCACUUAUCUGUUUUCUCUCCGGGUUGCCCGUGUCUUCCAGGCAAUUGCCAAGCGAGGUAACCUUUCAGACGCUGUAUUUGUCAUUUAAAACUCCGAUCUGUCUGUAAGGUUGGAGACUCCCCGGUCCUUCCUGUAACCUGAUUUUCCUUCUAUCAUCCUUGGUGCCACCUUAAGCAACAGCUGAAGUCCCUUCGAUGUCAGCUACAGUGUUAAACUUUUGCAGCCCGGUCUCUCAGUGCCUUAUUUUUACCUUUCUCCGAUCAUAACUCUCCUUGCCCUGUCUGACACAAAUGCCUUGUACACCGUAGUACAUUUGUGCCCCCAUGUUCUAAAUCAGAUUUCAGAGGAUUUGUCUCUUACCUUCUGAAGAUGUUACACUGCUUAGGUUUAUUGUUCAGUUACAUGGGAAGCGUUGCCAACUAAGUGAUGAUAAAUCUUCUUGGGUUAUUUGUAUUUUAAUAACACUUAAUUAUUAAUAUAAUUAAGUGUUCUAGAAAUUGUGUGAAAUGCCUAGAAAUCUGAUAUGUCUUGGUAUAAGGUUAUCAGUCAUAAUUCUGGUUAUCUUAAAAUAUUGUCUGUCAAUCACAGAAAUAACCAAAUUUCCUUGUCAAUUCCAUUAUAAUGAACUCUCAUCAGAUCUUUAGCACUGGGCAUUUUUAAGUUCUUUUGUCAUUGACAGACAGUUAUUGUUUUACUCUGACGCUUUUGCAAAAGUGAGAUUCAUGGCAAGGAACCUACCAAGAACUCUUGACCACCACAUGGCUGCCACAUCACAAGGGGCCAAACCUUGGGUACGUAUUUCACACCUGAUGAAGGCUCCACCUGACUUCCGGUCCCCUGCAAAAAAGCUGCAGCCCUCAAACCAAUCAAACCGACCAGCCACCAUCGAGACAGACAGACAGACUGCUUCCUCCCAACAUGUCAGACCAAGAGCGUGUCUGCCUUUCCAUUCUGCCUUCCCUCUCUGACCGUCCUUUUCCUAAUUCUCAUGCUGUGAAGGUUUUUAUGAUUCUUGCUGUCCAUCUUUUUUGCUUUGCUCUGGCCUGGAAAGAUAAUGCCACUGUUCACAUAUCUAAGGCCAUUGCAAAGCGGGCUAAAUCUAACCUCAAAGACUCUGAAUUAUCACGAUGCCAGUGAUUACACUGUUCUGUCCAUCACAGACUGCUCCCUGAUUUCCAAUGCCUCCGUUUCUCUGGACCUUUCUGUUGUGUCCCACUCCCUAACCCUGGGGAUCUACUUCCUUGUCUCUGGUUAACACCCCGGGGGAACCCUGCAUCCAGGCUCUGUACAAAGAAAGGGACGCGAGGCAAGGGAAAGAGAAUAAAACCACCUGUGCUGUCUACAGACCCUUCAGGUGUACUGGCCUCCACGGCUGUCACCUUUUGGGGCCCGAGCCACAGAUGGAAACGGGAAUUACCGGGAAGCAUUCAGUGGUUCAAAAUCUGCUUCCUUUGGUGCAGCCCUACUCCGCCGGCCAGGAGCUGAUACAAAUGAGGCCACGACCAGGAAUCUCUCCUUACCUCUUGAAGGUUCCAGAAUCUGCUGGUAAAGCAGCAGCUGCCCAAUGAAAAUCCCUAGACUCUCUGGCCAGAGUUGUUCUUGAAAAUAAGAGAAGCCUCUGGUUGAUUAUCCUUCAGCUGAACAAGGAGAUGCCUGUGCUGUGACCAGCACCGCCUGCUGCACCUGGAUCAACACUGCUGGGGAAGGUGAGACUACUGAACAAACCAGUCACUCUCUCAGGCCAACAAACCAGCCCACGGGAUCUUUCUUUGGGGAUUAUUCUGCCUGUAAUACUACAGCAGUCGCCGUAGUGUGCUGUAUUCUCGCAAAAGCUUUAAAUGCAACUUUGCAGCCGCUAGCUACCAAGCAAAUGAUCUCCCUCAGAACAGAACAUCAGAAAAGGAACAAAGGGAAUGACCGACUGAAAGACCAUGAACCCAGUGCCGUGACCUGUGAAGACCACACAGAGAUUCAGCAAAAAAAACCCGGUAAGAACUCCACAGCCAUAGCUGGGAGUAGCGCUAAUGCCUUAAACUUUGAUCACUUCUCUUAAUUAGGCUCAGAGUCUGAUGAAAAGGGGGUAAUUGUUAAAAACAAGACAGCAGACCCAAAAUGAAGUCGCUUAGGCUAGGUUCCAUAUCACCAAACCGAGACUUAACUUUAUAGUUUCAGCUCCCCCAGAAAGGAAUCUUUAACCAGUCAAAUCGGGACUCACCGGAUCAGCACGUCUGCCCGACAGACCCCUGCCGUCCCCUAACGGAGAGCGACUGGGCUACAACCAACCCGCUUUUUCACCUGGUGUAACUUCCUCGUUCCCGCUCCUUUCUGCCUGCAUGUCUUUCGUUUCGUACAGCUCCUUUCUAUCUGCCGGACCGGAGGCUGCCUGAUUCAUGAAUCACUGAAAUAAAGCCAGUAAGCUCUCUCAAA
Molecule: long non-coding RNA, 5050 nt
Organism: Lagenorhynchus albirostris (white-beaked dolphin)
Lineage: Eukaryota; Metazoa; Chordata; Mammalia; Artiodactyla; Delphinidae
Exons: 8
Source: RefSeq, a predicted model, not a curated record